RNAcentral lists this long non-coding RNA (352 nucleotides) under Oryctolagus cuniculus (rabbit). RNAcentral describes it as "lncRNA (ENSOCUG00000033385.1)". Lineage: Eukaryota; Metazoa; Chordata; Mammalia; Lagomorpha; Leporidae. The record is from RNAcentral.
GAGGAACAGGGGCAGGAUGGAGACUCACAGCAGGCCUGCCCCCUGCUGGCAGACUGUAGAAUUGCAACUCUUCGACCUUGGAAGAGGGUGCCGGCGCAAAACAGAACGUGCAGCGGAAAUAAAUGUUGAGAAGGCGUUGAAUCCAAAGAUCAGAGCUGACCUGUACGGCUCCCUUCAGAGUCGACAGUCUCAGAUUCUACCCCUCUGUGGUCCAGGAGAUCAGCAAUCCGUUCUACUUUCCAGCAGCCCAGCACCUGAGACAUGGGAGCUCCUGAAUGCACAUUUGCCGAAUGGAUGAAGGAAUGAGUGGAUAAGCAAUAAAGAUCGACAAAGGGAUGAAGGUUUGGUGGGA